This 850-nucleotide ribosomal RNA is filed under the name uncultured bacterium. Its description in RNAcentral is "bacterial SSU rRNA". It matches the Rfam family "Bacterial small subunit ribosomal RNA", at positions 38 to 883 of the family's 1533-position model. The record is from RNAcentral.
GGCAAGGGGGGCUUGCUACACUGCAAGUCGAACGAAGCACCAGAGAAUGAUUCUUCGGAUGAAAUCUCUUGUGACUGAGUGGCGGACGGGUGAGUAACGCGUGGGCAACCUGCCCCGUGCCGGGGGAUACCGCCUGGAAACAGGCGCUAAUACCGCAUAAGCGCAUACAGCCGCAUGGGUGUAUGCGGAAAGCUCCGGCGGCACGGGAUGGGCCCGCGCCCGAUUAGCCAGUUGGCGGGGUAACGGCCCACCAAAGCGACGAUCGGUAACCGGCCUGAGAGGGCGGACGGCCACAUUGGGACUGAGACACGGCCCAAACUCCUACGGGAGGCAGCAGUGGGGAAUAUUGCACAAUGGGGGAAACCCUGAUGCAUCAACGCCGCGUGGGUGAAGGAGCGUUUCGGCGCGUAAAGCCCUGUCAGCGGGGAAGAAGAAAGACGGUACCCGACCAAGAAGCCCCGGCUAACUACGUGCCAGCAGCCGCGGUAAUACGUAUGGGGCGAGCGUUAUCCGGAAUUACUGGGUGUAAAGGGAGCGUAGACGGCGAGGUAAGCCUGAAGUGGAAGCCCGCGGCCCAACCGCGGAACUGCUUUGGGAACUGUUUUGCUGGAGUAUGGGAGGGGUAAGCGGAAUUCCUGGUGUAGCGGUGAAAUGCGUAGAUAUCAGGAGGAACACCGGUGGCGAAAGCGGCUUACUGGACCAUAACUGACGUUGAGGCUCGAAAGCGUGAGGAGCGAACAGGAUUAGAUACGCUGGUAGUCCACGCCGUAAACGAUGAUUACCAGGUGUCGGGUGUCGAACGACGGCCGGUGCCGCAGCGAACGCAGUAAGUAAUCCACCUGAGGAGUAC